CCUACGGGUGGCUGCAGUGGGGAAUAUUGCACAAUGGGCGCAAGCCUGAUGCAGCCAUGCCGCGUGUGUGAAGAAGGCCUUCGGGUUGUAAAGCACUUUCAGCGGGGAGGAAGGCGGUGAGGUUAAUAACCUCAUCGAUUGACGUUACCCGCAGAAGAAGCACCGGCUAACUCCGUGCCAGCAGCCGCGGCAAUACGGAGGGUGCAAGCGUUAAUCGGAAUUACUGGGCGUAAAGCGCACGCAGGCGGUCUGUCAAGUCGGAUGUGAAAUCCCCGGGCUCAACCUGGGAACUGCAUUCGAAACUGGCAGGCUAGAGUCUUGUAGAGGGGGGUAGAAUUCCAGGUGUAGCGGUGAAAUGCGUAGAGAUCUGGAGGAAUACCGGUGGCGAAGGCGGCCCCCUGGACAAAGACUGACGCUCAGGUGCGAAAGCGUGGGGAGCAAACAGGAUUAGAUACCCGAGUAGUC
RNAcentral lists this ribosomal RNA (465 nucleotides) under uncultured Klebsiella sp. Its description in RNAcentral is "bacterial SSU rRNA". It matches the Rfam family "Bacterial small subunit ribosomal RNA", at positions 338 to 795 of the family's 1533-position model. Lineage: Bacteria; Pseudomonadati; Pseudomonadota; Gammaproteobacteria; Enterobacterales; Enterobacteriaceae. The record is from RNAcentral.